RNAcentral lists this ribosomal RNA (619 nucleotides) under Aspergillus awamori. Its description in RNAcentral is "partial 28S ribosomal RNA". It matches the Rfam family "Eukaryotic large subunit ribosomal RNA", at positions 1 to 634 of the family's 3401-position model. Lineage: Eukaryota; Fungi; Ascomycota; Eurotiomycetes; Eurotiales; Aspergillaceae. The record is from RNAcentral.
UUGACCUCGGAUCAGGUAGGGAUACCCGCUGAACUUAAGCAUAUCAAUAAGCGGAGGAAAAGAAACCAACCGGGAUUGCCUCAGUAACGGCGAGUGAAGCGGCAAGAGCUCAAAUUUGAAAGCUGGCUCCUUCGGAGUCCGCAUUGUAAUUUGCAGAGGAUGCUUUGGGUGCGGCCCCCGUCUAAGUGCCCUGGAACGGGCCGUCAGAGAGGGUGAGAAUCCCGUCUUGGGCGGGGUGUCCGUGCCCGUGUAAAGCUCCUUCGACGAGUCGAGUUGUUUGGGAAUGCAGCUCUAAAUGGGUGGUAAAUUUCAUCUAAAGCUAAAUACUGGCCGGAGACCGAUAGCGCACAAGUAGAGUGAUCGAAAGAUGAAAAGCACUUUGAAAAGAGAGUUAAACAGCACGUGAAAUUGUUGAAAGGGAAGCGCUUGCGACCAGACUCGCCCGCGGGGUUCAGCCGGCAUUCGUGCCGGUGUACUUCCCCGUGGGCGGGCCAGCGUCGGUUUGGGCGGCCGGUCAAAGGCCCCUGGAAUGUAGUGCCCUCCGGGGCACCUUAUAGCCAGGGGUGCAAUGCGGCCAGCCUGGACCGAGGAACGCGCUUCGGCACGGACGCUGGCAUAA